This 2795-nucleotide long non-coding RNA is filed under the name Equus caballus (horse). RNAcentral's name for it is "lncRNA (ENSECAG00000057285.1)". Lineage: Eukaryota; Metazoa; Chordata; Mammalia; Perissodactyla; Equidae. The record is from RNAcentral.
GUAGUAGUCUCCUUGCAGGAAGCUUCCACUGGCCAAUUUGGGUAAUUUGAGCAUAAGAACAAACAAUUAUAGUAACAUAUUAAAACCCAUUAAGUAAAAUAGGAAUCCAUGAGUCCAUAUUGAUAUACAUAAAUACACAAUUAAAUAGAUGAAGAGAAAAAUUCUUCUUGUAGCUGCCCCUGACAUAGGAAGGGUUAAUAAUCACUGGAAAAAGCUUGCCAACAAACUGUGACCCGGAGGUGAGAAGGCCGGUUAGCCAAUGACGGGUAAGACCCCCUGGGGGGGCAACCUAAGCCAGGCGGCGGCCGCCCGGGGGCACAGAUGGAGAAACGAUAUCGAUAUCGGGCGCAAGAGGGACCGUUGCCUAAGAGACUUUGCCUGCUCUGAGAUAAAAAUAUAGGAGCACAGCAACAACAUGAUAAUAUCAAAACAGAGGCCAAGGGAGGGCUCCUUGAGAAAUCACUAAGAAUUCUUGGCAUUCGCUAAUUACUUCAUCCAGAACACCUGUGUAUGUUUAACAGAUGUAAGCUAUGUAUAUAUUGAAACGCUGGUUAUAAUAAACUCAGAGUGGCCAUCAGCCCUCUCCGCAUCUAUCCUGAUGUGUACAUUGGAUUGCGACACCGACAUAUGGUGACCCCGACGUGAUCCAAGAUCGGCGGCAUUAUUGAUAAAGGCAUUGAGUGCAUUCCAUCAAAACGCACACGGCCUGCUCUGGAAUAACCGAAAAAUGGACAAACGGAUAAGAGGAACCGGGGUACCCCGACAACAACAUACAGGCCUGCACCAAAAGGAAGAAGAACCUCUGGUGAGGUAUGCUAACAAUUCACCUUUUUGUAUGGUUUAUUAAAACAAAAGCACAACAUGUGUCGCCUUUCAGGAACAAAUGUAUUUUAUUACCAACCUAAGAAAGGACAACAGGCAGCCAAUGUGACAUACAUUACUGCUAUAUCAACAUCUUACGAAGACAAAAGUAAUGUCAUACAAGUUCCUUCCAUCCCAAUUUGCCAUCCAAAAACUGAUUGGUGUUACAAACAUUACUCAGUACAGUGGUCCCCUUGCCAUACAGCGUAUCCAAGGCAGGGCAACCUCUUUGGGGCCAACGUACUGAAUUAGGGACCUCAUGGACAUCUUUUGAGUGACAGUCAUACUUGGGCCUUCAACAGAUCAAGUCAGAAACCUAUAACAUGGAGCGAACACGGCCUAUCUGGACCCCUUUUACAACUAUCUCACAAUGAGACAGUGUGCAGCCCCCUCACAAAGGAAUAUGGAGGAUCGGGUUGCCUUUUAUAUCAGGACAAUUGUCCCAUGGCAAGUAUGGGAAUGAAACUGGCAAUUAUUUACUAACAUUGGUCAAAAAUGUUUCUCAUACCCUUAUGAUUUGUACCACCCAUCCUUAUGUGUUAUUAUGGGGAAACAGUGUCCCUGCUAUCCAAGAAUCUUCUGGUAUGUAUGUGGUUAAUAUUUCUCCCCCAUAUUGGCAUUCUGAUUGUUUAACACAUUAUAAUGUAACCUCAUUGAAUGUGACCUAUGUAAUGGUGUUAAAAAGAAGAGCACAUAUUUGGUUACCUGUUUCUCUAAAUCGGACAUGGUCCGAAGAGCAUGAUCUACAUAUCCUCCUUGAGUCCAUGAGAAAAUUAUGCCCUAAGCAGUUUUGGCUACGCUAAUCGGGUUCAUUGUGUCCGCGGUGAUUAUCAUUGCAUCAGCUGCUACAGCUACUACUGCCUUGGUUAACAGUGUUCAAACAGCCCAUAAGGUGGAGUCCGUCUUGGUAAAUAUCACUCAAGAAUUACAGACACAGGUGGAUAUUGAUAAAGGGCUAAUGUCAGGAUUGUAGGCAUUAGAGGCAGCAGUAGAGUGGCUGGGAGAGCAGCAAAAUGCAUUAUAUAUGCAUAUGAAACUAAAAUGUGACUGGCAAUUUACCAUGCAAUGCGUUACCCCCCUACUGUAUAAUAGCUCGCUGACAUCUUGGCAAGAAAUAAAAAAACAUUUACAGGGGGCAUUUAAUACCUCCCUGGCCAAUGACAUCACUGGGCUACAAGCUCGGUUAGAGAGGCAGUUACAAGAAGUACAUAAGGUGUUCUCUCAAAAAAUACUUUAAGACAUUGAAAAUGGGUUACACUGGCUAGAGCCCUCCAAUUGGUUCUCAGGCCUCAAUUUACGCAUAUUUGUUAAUGCUGGUGUGAUUUUGAUAUUAUCUAUGUUAAUAGUUUAUGUUUUACAUCUGCUGUGCUCCCUGAAAAAACAAAGUCAACAAGAGCAAGCAUUGGUUAUGAUGGGCCUUCUGGCCUCAGCACAACAUGAUGCCUUCCUUGCUUUAAAAAACAAAAGGCGGGGAAAUGUAGCUGCCCCUGACAUAGGAAGGGUUAAUAAUCACUGGAAAAAGCUUGCCAACAAACUGUGACCCGGAGGUGAGAAGGCCGGUUAGCCAAUGACGGGUAAGACCCCCUGGGGGGGCAACCUAAGCCAGGCGGCGGCCGCCCGGGGGCACAGAUGGAGAAACGAUAUCGAUAUCGGGCGCAAGAGGGACCGUUGCCUAAGAGACUUUGCCUGCUCUGAGAUAAAAAUAUAGGAGCACAGCAACAACAUGAUAAUACCAAAACAGAGGCCAAGGGAGGGCUCCUUGAGAAAUCACUAAGAAUUCUUGGCAUUCGCUAAUUACUUCAUCCAGAACACCUGUGUAUGUUUAACAGAUGUAAGCUAUGUAUAUAUUGAAACGCUGGUUAUAAUAAACUCAGAGUGGCCAUCAGCCCUCUCCGCAUCUAUCCUGAUGUGUACAUUGGAUUGCGACACCGACA